AUACGUAGGGGGCGAGCGUUGUCCGGAAUGAUUGGGCGUAAAGGGCGCGUAGGCGGCGCGGUAAGUCUGGAGUGAAAGUCCUGCUUUCAAGGUGGGAAUUGCUUUGGAUACUGCCGCGCUUGAGUGCAGGAGAGGUUAUCGGAAUUCCCGGUGUAGCGGUGAAAUGCGUAGAGAUCGGGAGGAACACCAGUGGCGAAGGCGGGUAACUGGACUGCAACUGACGCUGAGGCGCGAAAGUGCGGGGAGCAAACAGGAUUAGAUACCCUGGUAGUCCACACUGUAAACGAUGAAUGCUAGGUGUAAGAGGUAUCGACCCCUUUUGUGCCGGAGUCAACACAAUAAGCAUUCCGCCUGGGGAGUACGGCCGCAAGGUUGAAACUCAAAGGAAUUGACGGGG
Molecule: ribosomal RNA, 397 nt
Filed under: uncultured bacterium
Lineage: Bacteria
Description: partial 16S ribosomal RNA
Rfam family: Bacterial small subunit ribosomal RNA
Source: RNAcentral